UCUGGAGAAGAUUACUGGCUUCUUGCAAAUCAGUGGAACAGAGGCUGGGGUGAUGAUGGCUACUUCAAGAUCAUACGAGGCGUCAACGAAUGUGGCA
Setaria italica (foxtail millet) is the source of this 97-nucleotide long non-coding RNA. RefSeq lists it as uncharacterized. The record is from RefSeq and is a predicted model, not a curated record. NCBI's taxonomy places the organism in Eukaryota, Viridiplantae, Streptophyta, Magnoliopsida, Poales, Poaceae. The transcript is spliced from 3 exons.